Molecule: long non-coding RNA, 835 nt
Organism: Daphnia pulicaria
Lineage: Eukaryota; Metazoa; Arthropoda; Branchiopoda; Diplostraca; Daphniidae
Exons: 3
Source: RefSeq, a predicted model, not a curated record
GGAUAAGUGUGUGUAUUUAUAGAUUUAAGUGCAUUACUAGAUUAUUAGCUACGUUCACCCAACAAUGACAACAUUCCACGAUUGUGCGCUGCAAGGUCUAAGCCCGAUAUGGAAAAACGGAACGUAUUUAGUAUAUGUCCCCCAAAAGCCCAAAUCAAAUCAACGUGAACAGACAUGAUCGUGAAAAUGUAUCGUCCGGGAUACAUUAAAACACGAAAAAAAAAAGACAUUUGCUGCUCAAUAAUUUAUGUAUUUGAAAUGAAUAAAAAGAAUAAUUUAAAGUUCAAUGCAUCAUUCUAGAUCGAUGGAGAAGAAUAAUGUCAUUAGAAAAAUUUGCUGUGUAAAUAAGCUACGAGCGCUUUUAUGAGCAACUUCGAAUUUUUAUGUACACAAGCGAAAAAAAUCAUCAAUUGCAGUUUUAAAAUAAUAGUUUUUUGUUCAUAAGGAAGGACAAAUAUGCUUCAAACAGGUAAGCAUAUCGAUCAUAAUUCUCAUUUGUCCCGGUAAUAAUUUAUUCCCUCCCCCCCAUUUCUUGUGCCGGAUUUGGUUUAAAGAUAACAUCAGGAAUUAUUUUUUAGCUGUCAUACAUACAAUAUUAUUAUUUUUUUAAAUCAAUUAAUAAUUAAUAUUUUUAAAUUUCCCAAAUAAAUAGAUAAAAAGAUUAGACAAAUGAAGAAUAUUGUAGAACUAAUUGUCGUCAGAUGGCGCAAGUAUUGCGUAAACAAUUUUUCAAACUAAAUUCUGGGUCGCGUACAACUGAGAACAAUUUUCGUUGCUUUUCCCUUUUUCCGCUGCUUCGAAAUAUUUUAACAAGAAAUCUGCAGAUUCCGGCUCU